GUCCCAAGUUUUAUGCUCAGCAAGCGCCACACAAUUCUAAGCUGACCACAGGGACUGAAAACCCGCCCCGCCUAUGUCCCUCCCCUCUCCCAGUUCCCCUCCUGGAAGGGCGGGGGCUACGAACUUGAGGCCAGGCCUGCUCACUCCCUGUACUGAACCUACCACCCUUUCUUCAUGGAUCCAAGGAAAGGAUUCUAGAAUUAUCCCUUGAAAACAGACAGAGCCUCAUCAACACACACACACACACACACACACACACACACACACACACACACACACACACACACACUUGAUUUCACAGAUAGGGAAACUGAGGACCAGAACAAAUUGUUGUUUUUAGGCCUGAAAUUCAGAAUAGGAUAUGCAGCAUUCCUGAACCCGAACUGCUCAUCGUGGGAGCCUGAAGGCCAUUGGGCCCAGCAGGGAAGUAGGCUAGGCCCUAACACCUAUAGCCCCACCUUUAGGUCCCCUGCUUCAGGCAGGACCUGGAGCUGCUGCCCAACAAGGUGGUCUCCUGAGAUCCAGUUCUCGCCCAGCUGCGGACUUCCAGAAGAGCCUUCAGAGGCCGAGGUGGAAGUGGGAGGGAAAGGGAGCGGGGCUUCCAGCUCUUGGGCACUGACCAGUUUGUUCCGGGCUUGGGGGUUGGGGGUGGAGACGGUGGCUGAUCUCUGCUCCUCUAGCCUCUCAGGCGCCUGGUUCGGUGUAAACGCCGGCAGGCUGAGCUGGUGGCGAGGCAGCCUGGCGGCGCCUUGGCCCCAAGGCAUCUCUGUGGCAGGACUCCCCGGUGUCUUCGGAAGAUUCGCACGUAGGGCUAAGGAGCCGGCGACUGCUGGGCUGCUCACUCCAUCUGGCUCGCCACCUGCAUGAAAAUCUUUGAUCCUAUAAAGAUACUUCCACUGAGGCUCACACUGGAAGAAACCAGCCCACCCCCACCCCUGAUAUCCACGGAGAAACAGCCUAGGCGCUUCACACUCACUCUGCUGAGGCAGGGAAUAUCUGUGCAACCUUGUGUUGCUCCCCAUCAGCCUAGAUUCUCCAAGGUGGGAUUCCACAAAGAGAUGGCUUUCCAAGAGUUGAUAAGAACGUGGGAGACCAGGCUUUUAAGCUUGAAACUCUGGGUCUUCUUCAUCUUUUCAUUAAGGUCCCUGUCCCUAGGACCCCCUCCAUCCUCACCAACAUUUCUGGUCUCGCUCCUUCCCUAGGUGGGCUUGUGCCUAUCAAAUGUCAGUUAAGGGGGGAAAUGAGAUGAUGUCAAAUUCUUUUUAAUUCGCUUCUGAUCCAGCCACUCGAAAGUUGCUCGCUGAGGCCCAGCUUGUGUAAGACAAUUACCAGGCAGGGACAGUGGGAGAGAGGCCACCGUGCGCAGACGGGAUGUGAGGCCCAGUAGCAAGUGGGAUUGGUUACAUAGAUCCAAAAGGAAGUCUGCUACUCUCCUUCAGUCUACCUCUGCCGAUGAAGCCUUGGGAGCCAAGCACUCAGGGGAGUCUCCUGUCAGUCUCACAAAGCCCUCGGUGCCCCUUUAAGUUGAUCUGACUCUCAUAGAGGCAGGCUUCCCAGGUCUGUCCCCAGUGAUACUGGUGACAGGGGCUGUGACAGAUGAAGCUAACCGAACACCAAGAUUACAAGCACAGAGGACUGUGGGGUUGGGUGAACGGAAAGAUGGAGGGCGCCUUUCUAAGAAUCGGAACAGGGCUGUGAUUUGUAGGCAAAGGCUGUUACACAAACCCUGGGCAAGAAGGAACCACAGAAUCUGGCCCCCAGAACCAAGAGUCGCAAUGGUCCAGCAUCACCUCCUUCUCUGGACUCUCCUGGGCACACGGACUCAUUGCACCUGCUAAAAACACAUCCCUAGCUAGCAGUGGCGCUAGAGGAGUGGGUGGAGUCAGCUUUAUCCCAGCAGAAGGAAAAUAAAUGUGUCAGUUCUCAUUG
Long non-coding RNA from Mus musculus (house mouse), 1929 nucleotides. RefSeq annotates it as predicted gene, 32915. The record is from RefSeq and is a predicted model, not a curated record. Lineage: Eukaryota; Metazoa; Chordata; Mammalia; Rodentia; Muridae. The transcript is spliced from 3 exons.